RNAcentral lists this ribosomal RNA (602 nucleotides) under Staphylococcus pasteuri. Its description in RNAcentral is "partial 16S ribosomal RNA". Lineage: Bacteria; Bacillati; Bacillota; Bacilli; Caryophanales; Staphylococcaceae. The record is from RNAcentral.
UUACGGCGUGGGACUACCAGGGUGAUGCUGAAUGCCUGUGUUGAUGCCCCACGACUUUCGCACAUGCAGCGUGCAGUUACAGACCAGAAAGGCGCCUUCGCCACUGGUGGUCCUCCAGAGCUCUGCGCAGUUCACCGCUACACAGGGAAUUCCACUUUCCUCUUCUGCACUCAAGUUUUCCAGUUUCCAAUGACCCUCCACGGUUGAGCCGUGGGCUUUCACAUCAGACUUAAAAAACCGCCUACGCGCGCUUUACGCCCAAUAAUUCCGGAUAACGCUUGCCACCUACGUAUUACCGCGGCUGCUGGCACGUAGUUAGCCGUGGCUUUCUGAUCAGGUACCGUCAAGAUGUGCACAGUUACUUACACAUUUGUUCUUCCCUGAUAACAGAGUCUUACGAUCCGAAGACCUUCAUCACUCACGCGGCGUUGCUCCGUCAGGCUUUCGCCCAUUGCGGAAGAUUCCCUACUGCUGCCUCCCGUAGGAGUCUGGACCGUGUCUCAGUUCCAGUGUGGCCGAUCACCCAUCUCAAGGUCGGCUACGUUAAUCGUUUGCCNUUGGGGUAAAGCCCCGUUCAACCCCUUAACCCCAAAACCUAAAGC